GUCGAACGGUAACAGGUCCUUCGGGAUGCUGACGAGUGGCGGACGGGUGAGGGAUGCAUCGGAAUCUGCCUGUUUGUGGGGGAUAACGCAUGGAAACGUGCGCUAAUACCGCAUACGUCCUUUUGUCGGGAGAUGAUUGGAGAAAGUGGGGGACCUUCGGGCCUCACGCGAACAGAUGAGCCGAUGUCGGAUUAGCUGGUUGGUGGGGUAAAGGCCUACCAAGGCGACGAUCCGUAGCUGGUCUGAGAGGAUGAUCAGCCACACUGGAACUGAGACACGGUCCAGACUCCUACGGGAGGCAGCAGUGGGGAAUAUUGGACAAUGGGGGCAACCCUGAUCCAGCCAUGCCGCGUGUGUGAAGAAGGCCCUUGGGUUGUAAAGCACUUUUGUUGGGGAAGAAAAGUUUUCGGUGAAUAACUGGAGACGCUGACGGUACCCAAAGAAUAAGCACCGGCUAACUUCGUGCCAGCAGCCGCGGUAAUACGAAGGGUGCAAGCGUUACUCGGAAUCACUGGGCGUAAAGGGUGCGCAGGCGGCCUGCCAAGUCUGAUGUGAAAGCCCUGGGCUCAACCUGGGAACGGCAUUGGAAACUGGUGGGCUGGAGU
This 605-nucleotide ribosomal RNA is filed under the name uncultured Lysobacterales bacterium. RNAcentral describes it as "bacterial SSU rRNA". It matches the Rfam family "Bacterial small subunit ribosomal RNA", at positions 61 to 647 of the family's 1533-position model. Lineage: Bacteria; Pseudomonadati; Pseudomonadota; Gammaproteobacteria; Lysobacterales. The record is from RNAcentral.